GAUAAACGCUGGCGGCGUGCCUAAUACAUGCAAGUCGAGCGAACAGACGAGGAGCUUGCUCCUCUGACGUUAGCGGCGGACGGGUGAGUAACACGUGGAUAACCUACCUAUAAGACUGGGAUAACUUCGGGAAACCGGAGCUAAUACCGGAUAAUAUAUUGAACCGCAUGGUUCAAUAGUGAAAGACGGUUUUGCUGUCACUUAUAGAUGGAUCCGCGCCGCAUUAGCUAGUUGGUAAGGUAACGGCUUACCAAGGCGACGAUGCGUAGCCGACCUGAGAGGGUGAUCGGCCACACUGGAACUGAGACACGGUCCAGACUCCUACGGGAGGCAGCAGUAGGGAAUCUUCCGCAAUGGGCGAAAGCCUGACGGAGCACCGCCGCGUGAGUGAUGAAGGUCUUCGGAUCGUAAAGCUCUGUUAUUAGGGAAGAACAAAUGUGUAAGUAACUAUGCACGUCUUGACGGUACCUACUCAGAAAGCCACGGCUAACUACGUG
Molecule: ribosomal RNA, 497 nt
Filed under: uncultured bacterium
Lineage: Bacteria
Description: partial 16S ribosomal RNA
Rfam family: Bacterial small subunit ribosomal RNA
Source: RNAcentral